UUUCGGAGCCGCGCGUUCGCUCCGUUGUUCUUUUUGAGAAUCUCCGGGGAGGAAAGUCCGGACGCCGUAGGGCAGGAUUCCUCGCGAAAGCGGGGGAGGGCCGCUUCAAGGCGGUUCGACGGCCAGUGCCACAGAGAAUAUACCGCCUCGGCUUCGGUUGGGGUAAGGGUGAAAAGGUGGGGUAAGAGCCCACCGCGGUUCGAGCAAUCGGACCGGCAGGGUAAACCCAUUCCGGCGCAAGGUUAAAUAGGGGACCUGGGCUGCUCGUCCAUCAAGGGUUCCGGGUAAACCGCGCUACUUCGCAAGAAGGGGCUCCCGCUUCGGCGGGAUGCAGAUAAAUGAACGCGACCUUGGUUUCGGCCAAGGUACAGGAUCCGGCUUACAGGCUCCGAAACUAG
RNAcentral lists this RNase P RNA (398 nucleotides) under Pelagicoccus enzymogenes. Its description in RNAcentral is "Bacterial RNase P class A". It matches the Rfam family "Bacterial RNase P class A". From Rfam's summary of the family: Ribonuclease P (RNase P) is a ubiquitous endoribonuclease, found in archaea, bacteria and eukarya as well as chloroplasts and mitochondria. The record is from Rfam by way of RNAcentral. Lineage: Bacteria; Pseudomonadati; Verrucomicrobiota; Opitutia; Puniceicoccales; Pelagicoccaceae.